RNAcentral lists this transfer RNA (69 nucleotides) under Uranoscopus japonicus. RNAcentral's name for it is "tRNA-Met". Lineage: Eukaryota; Metazoa; Chordata; Actinopteri; Uranoscopiformes; Uranoscopidae. The record is from RNAcentral.
AGUAGAGUCAGCUAAAAAAGCUUCUGGGCCCAUACCCCCGACAUGUAGGUUUAAACCCUUCCUCUACUA